RNAcentral lists this ribosomal RNA (164 nucleotides) under uncultured bacterium. RNAcentral's name for it is "partial 16S ribosomal RNA". It matches the Rfam family "Bacterial small subunit ribosomal RNA", at positions 338 to 492 of the family's 1533-position model. The record is from RNAcentral.
UUUUCGGGAGGCAGCAGUGGGGAAUUUUGGACAAUGGGCGAAAGCCUGAUCCAGCAAUGCCGCGUGCAGGAUGAAGGCCUUCGGGUUGUAAACUGCUUUUGUACGGAACGAAAAAGCUUCUCCUAAUACGAGAGGCCCAUGACAGUUCCGCAGCUACUUAAGUA